AUUCUUAUGGCAGAAUAUUGCACUAGAUUUAGAUUCUAAUCAUUCA
Molecule: transfer RNA, 46 nt
Filed under: Araneus dimidiatus
Lineage: Eukaryota; Metazoa; Arthropoda; Arachnida; Araneae; Araneidae
Description: tRNA-Leu
Source: RNAcentral